This 92-nucleotide long non-coding RNA is filed under the name Chinchilla lanigera (long-tailed chinchilla). RNAcentral's name for it is "lncRNA (ENSCLAG00000022964.1)". The record is from RNAcentral. Lineage: Eukaryota; Metazoa; Chordata; Mammalia; Rodentia; Chinchillidae.
GGCUGACUUGGAGAGAUAGAUUUGAGAGUCAUCAGGCAACAGAUAUGAGAUUUUUCCCAUGACAGAAGGAAGAAUGAAGCCCUUCAGGUAGA